CGCAAUGGGGGAAACCCUGACGGAGCGACGCCGCGUGCAGGAGGAAGGCCUUCGGGUUGUAAACUGCUUUUGUAUGUGACGAUUAUGACGGUAGCAUGCGAAUAAGGACCUGCUAACUACGUGCCAGCAGCCGCGGUCAUACGUAGGGUCCAAGCGUUAUCCGGAAUCACUGGGCGUAAAGAGUUGCGUAGGUGGCAUAGCAAGUUGGUAGUGAAAUUUUUCGGCUCAACCGAAUAACCGCUACCAAAACUGCUAAGCUAGAGCACGAGAGAGGUAACUGGAAUUUCUAGUGUAGGAGUGAAAUCCGUAGAUAUUAGAAGGAACACCGAUGGCGUAGGCAGGUUCCUGGCUCGUUGCUGCCCCUCAGGCACGAAAGCGU
Molecule: ribosomal RNA, 379 nt
Filed under: uncultured organism
Description: bacterial SSU rRNA
Rfam family: Bacterial small subunit ribosomal RNA
Source: RNAcentral